GUGGGGAAUUUUGGACAAUGGGCGAAAGCCUGAUCCAGCCAUGCCGCGUGCAGGAUGAAGGCCUUCGGGUUGUAAACUGCUUUUGUACGGAACGAAAAGACUCCUUCUAAUAAAGGGGGUCCAUGACGGUACCGUAAGAAUAAGCACCGGCUAACUACGUGCCAGCAGCCGCGGUAAUACGUAGGGUGCAAGCGUUAAUCGGAAUUACUGGGCGUAAAGCGUGCGCAGGCGGUUAUAUAGGACAGAUGUGAAAUCCCCGGGCUCAACCUGGGAACUGCAUUUGUGACUGUAUAGCUAGAGUACGGUAGAGGGGGAUGGAAUUCCGCGUGUAGCAGUGAAAUGCGUAGAUAUGCGGAGGAACACCGAUGGCGAAGGCAAUCCCCUGGACCUGUACUGACGCUCAUGCACGAAAGCGUGGGGAGCAAACAGGAUUAGAAACCCCAGUAGUCC
This 450-nucleotide ribosomal RNA is filed under the name uncultured bacterium. Its description in RNAcentral is "partial 16S ribosomal RNA". It matches the Rfam family "Bacterial small subunit ribosomal RNA", at positions 354 to 796 of the family's 1533-position model. The record is from RNAcentral.